Molecule: unclassified non-coding RNA, 232 nt
Filed under: uncultured Russula
Lineage: Eukaryota; Fungi; Basidiomycota; Agaricomycetes; Russulales; Russulaceae
Description: sequence contains ITS2
Source: RNAcentral
AAUUCUCAAACCUUCUUGGUUUUUAUGACCAAGAAGGCUUUGGACUUUGGAGGUCUUUGCUGGCUUUGCAAAAAGCCAGCUCCUCUUAAAUGCAUUAGUGGGGUCCUCUUUGCCGGUCCUCAGGCGUUGAUAAGAUGUUUCUACGUCUUGGGAUUUGCUCUGUUUAUUGGGAACCUGCUUCUAACCGUCUCUCUAUGAAGAGACAUUGUUCGAGCCUUGCUCGACCCACGAA